CCUUGAUCCACUGGGCAAUCUGAUUGAUUUUGGGCUUCAUAAGAUUCCUGCCUUUUGUCAACUUCACCAUACAGCAUGCAGACGAAUUCCAGUUCUAGUGACAAUGUACCCAUUUUGUCGACAUUCAACAACCUAAUUACUGAGAUCUUUCUCCAGCUCAGCAAAUGAAGCACACCUCAUUGGAUGUUUUUUCUUGCUU
Long non-coding RNA from Gopherus evgoodei (Goodes thornscrub tortoise), 199 nucleotides. RefSeq lists it as uncharacterized. The transcript is spliced from 2 exons. Lineage: Eukaryota; Metazoa; Chordata; Testudines; Testudinidae. The record is from RefSeq and is a predicted model, not a curated record.